GGCCUUUAGAUUAUGAUUUAAGGUCUGACCUGCCCAAUGAUUAUUUUAAAUGGCCGCAGUAUUUUGACUGUGCAAAGGUAGCAUAAUCAUUAGUUUUUUAAUUAAAAGCUGGAAUGAAUGGUUUGAUGAAAAAAUAGCUGUCUCGAUAAAAUUUGUUUAGAAUUUUAAUUUUAAGUGAAAAAGCUUAAAUUUUUUAUGAAGACGAGAAGACCCUAUAGAGUUUAAUACUAUUUUUUCUAAUUGUUUUAGGUUUAUUUUGCACAUUAGUAUGUAUAGUAUUUUGUUGGGGUGACAUAAAAAUUUAAGUAACUUUUUAUAUUUUAAUACAUUGAUAUAUGAAUUUUUGAUCCUUAUUUUUUGGAUUAUAAGACUAAAUUACCUUAGGGAUAACAGCGUAAUUUCUUUGGAGAGUUCUUAUCGAUAGAGGAGUUUGCGA
RNAcentral lists this ribosomal RNA (436 nucleotides) under Dailognatha quadricollis. Its description in RNAcentral is "partial 16S ribosomal RNA". It matches the Rfam family "Bacterial large subunit ribosomal RNA", at positions 1829 to 2523 of the family's 2925-position model. The record is from RNAcentral. Lineage: Eukaryota; Metazoa; Arthropoda; Insecta; Coleoptera; Tenebrionidae.